Molecule: ribosomal RNA, 397 nt
Filed under: uncultured bacterium
Lineage: Bacteria
Description: partial 16S ribosomal RNA
Rfam family: Bacterial small subunit ribosomal RNA
Source: RNAcentral
AUACGUAGGUGGCGAGCGUUGUCCGGAAUUACUGGGCGUAAAGGAUGCGUAGGUGGAUAUUUAAGUGGGAUGUGAAAUCCCCGGGCUCAACCCGGGAACUGCAUUCCAAACUGGGUAUCUAGAGUGCAGGAGAGGAAAGCGGAAUUCCUAGUGUAGCGGUGAAAUGCGUAGAUAUUAGGAGGAACACCAGUGGCGAAGGCGUUUUUCUGGACGUAAACUGACACUGAGGCAUGAAAGCGUGGGUAGCAAACAGGAUUAGAUACCCUGGUAGUCCACGCCGUAAACGAUGGGUACUAGGUGUAGGAGGUAUCGACCCCUUCUGUGCCGUCGUUAACACAAUAAGUACCCCGCCUGGGGAGUACGGUCGCAAGACUAAAACUCAAAUGAAUUGACGGGG